GUUACAGAAGCAGAAUCCUCGAGGCCCCCUUCCACUCCGGUCUCUCAAGAUAAGAUGGCAACAGCAAGGGUCAAACUAAACGUACCCCAAGGAGUGAAUCUUGAAGACCCCAAAGUGAGCGAAGCCAUUUUAGAGCAGAUCCGGGAGCACCUCUCCAAGAACUUUCCAAUGGACGGUGUUAAUCUGCGCUGGAGAAGACAAGAUGGGGAGAUAUUCCACAAGGAGGAAGAGGAGGAGGAGGAGGAGAAGAAGAAGUACUUCAAGCCGUGAGAUACCAGCGCCCACAAUGACAAGCGAGGGCUUUCAGAGCGGCACUGGUUUAUAUUAAUCUGACAUUAUCUACUGGUUUAUAUUACUCUGACAUUAUCUACUGUUUAUAUUAAUCUGACAUUAUCUCUUGGUGCAGCACUGGUUUAUAUUAAAGUGA
Long non-coding RNA from Acipenser ruthenus (sterlet), 427 nucleotides. RefSeq lists it as uncharacterized. The record is from RefSeq and is a predicted model, not a curated record. Lineage: Eukaryota; Metazoa; Chordata; Actinopteri; Acipenseriformes; Acipenseridae. The transcript has 3 exons.